RNAcentral lists this ribosomal RNA (850 nucleotides) under Escherichia coli. Its description in RNAcentral is "partial 23S ribosomal RNA". It matches the Rfam family "Bacterial large subunit ribosomal RNA", at positions 2072 to 2916 of the family's 2925-position model. Lineage: Bacteria; Pseudomonadati; Pseudomonadota; Gammaproteobacteria; Enterobacterales; Enterobacteriaceae. The record is from RNAcentral.
GCGGCAAGACGGAAAGACCCCGUGAACCUUUACUAUAGCUUGACACUGAACAUUGAGCCUUGAUGUGUAGGAUAGGUGGGAGGCUUUGAAGUGUGGACGCCAGUCUGCAUGGAGCCGACCUUGAAAUACCACCCUUUAAUGUUUGAUGUUCUAACGUUGACCCGUAAUCCGGGUUGCGGACAGUGUCUGGUGGGUAGUUUGACUGGGGCGGUCUCCUCCUAAAGAGUAACGGAGGAGCACGAAGGUUGGCUAAUCCUGGUCGGACAUCAGGAGGUUAGUGCAAUGGCAUAAGCCAGCUUGACUGCGAGCGUGACGGCGCGAGCAGGUGCGAAAGCAGGUCAUAGUGAUCCGGUGGUUCUGAAUGGAAGGGCCAUCGCUCAACGGAUAAAAGGUACUCCGGGGAUAACAGGCUGAUACCGCCCAAGAGUUCAUAUCGACGGCGGUGUUUGGCACCUCGAUGUCGGCUCAUCACAUCCUGGGGCUGAAGUAGGUCCCAAGGGUAUGGCUGUUCGCCAUUUAAAGUGGUACGCGAGCUGGGUUUAGAACGUCGUGAGACAGUUCGGUCCCUAUCUGCCGUGGGCGCUGGAGAACUGAGGGGGGCUGCUCCUAGUACGAGAGGACCGGAGUGGACGCAUCACUGGUGUUCGGGUUGUCAUGCCAAUGGCACUGCCCGGUAGCUAAAUGCGGAAGAGAUAAGUGCUGAAAGCAUCUAAGCACGAAACUUGCCCCGAGAUGAGUUCUCCCUGACUCCUUGAGAGUCCUGAAGGAACGUUGAAGACGACGACGUUGAUAGGCCGGGUGUGUAAGCGCAGCGAUGCGUUGAGCUAACCGGUACUAAUGAACCGUGAGG